Molecule: ribosomal RNA, 231 nt
Filed under: uncultured bacterium
Lineage: Bacteria
Description: partial 16S ribosomal RNA
Rfam family: Bacterial small subunit ribosomal RNA
Source: RNAcentral
CGGGUAGCGGAACACGUACGCAACCUUCCUUUAACUGAGAAUAGCCCCUCGAAAGAGGGAUUAAUACUCCGUAACAUGAUGAUAAGGCAUCUUAUUAUUAUUAUAGCUCCGGCGGUUAGAGAUGGGCGUGCGCCUGAUUAGGUAGUUGGCGGGGUAACGGCCCACCAAGCCUGCGAUCAGUAACUGGUGUGAGAGCACGACCAGUCACACGGGCACUGAGACACGGGCCCG